RNAcentral lists this ribosomal RNA (466 nucleotides) under uncultured bacterium. RNAcentral's name for it is "partial 16S ribosomal RNA". It matches the Rfam family "Bacterial small subunit ribosomal RNA", at positions 28 to 507 of the family's 1533-position model. The record is from RNAcentral.
GAUGAACGCUGGCGGCGUGCUUAACACGUGCAAGUCGAACGGAAAGGCCACAGCUUGCUGUGGUACUCGAGUGGCGAACGGGUGAAUAACACGUGGGUGAUCUGCCCUGUACUUCGGGAUAAGCUUGGGAAACUGGGUCUAAUACCGGAUAGGAAUCACAUGUGGGUGUGUGGUUGGAAAGCUUUUGCGGUAUGGGAUGAGCUCGCGGCCUAUCAGCUUGUUGGUGGGGUAAUGGCCUACCAAGGCGUCGACGGGUAGCCGGCCUGAGAGGGUGUACGGCCACAUUGGGACUGAGAUACGGCCCAGACUCCUACGGGAGGCAGCAGUGGGGAAUAUUGCACAAUGGGCGCAAGCCUGAUGCAGCGACGCCGCGUGGGGGAUGACGGCCUUCGGGUUGUAAACUCCUUUCGUCAGGGACGAAGCGAAAGUGACGGUACCUGGAUAAGAAGCACCGGCUAACUACGUG